RNAcentral lists this ribosomal RNA (874 nucleotides) under uncultured Chlamydiae bacterium. RNAcentral describes it as "bacterial SSU rRNA". It matches the Rfam family "Bacterial small subunit ribosomal RNA", at positions 512 to 1384 of the family's 1533-position model. Lineage: Bacteria; Pseudomonadati; Chlamydiota; Chlamydiia. The record is from RNAcentral.
CAGCCGCGGUAAUACGGAGGGUGCAAGCAUUAAUCGGAUUUAUUGGGCGUAAAGGGCGCGUAGGCGGACUGGCAAGUCAGAUGUGAAAUCCCGGGACUUAAUCUCGGAACUGCAUUUGAAACUAUCAGACUUAGAGGAUGGACGGAGAAAAUGGAAUUCCACGUGUAGCGGUGAAAUGCGUAGAUAUGUGGAAGAACACCUGUGGCGAAAGCGAUUUUCUAGUUUAUUCCUGACGCUGAGGCGCGAGAGCAAGGGGAGCAAACAGGAUUAGAUACCCUGGUAGUCCUUGCCUUAAACGAUGUAUACUUGAUGUAGACCGGCUCUACCCGGUCUGUGUCGAAGCUAACGCGAUAAGUAUACCGCCUGGGGAGUACGCUCGCAAGGGUGAAACUCAAAAGAAUUGACGGGGGCCCGCACAAGCAGUGGAGCAUGUGGUUUAAUUCGAUGCAACGCGAAGAACCUUACCCAGACUUGACAUAGAGUGGACCGGUCUAGAAAUAGGCCUUUCCUUACGGACUGCUCUACAGGUGCUGCAUGGCUGUCGUCAGCUCGUGCCGUGAGGUGUUGGGUUAAGUCCCGCAACGAGCGCAACCCUUGUCAUUAGUUACCAGCACGUAAAGGUGGGGACUCUAAUGAGACUGCCUCGGUUAACGAGGAGGAAGGUGAGGAUGACGUCAAGUCCGCAUGGCCCUUAUGUCUGGGGCUACACACGUGCUACAAUGGUCGGUACAGAAGGCAGCAAAGUCGAAAGAUGGAGCAAAUCCCUAAAACCGAUCUCAGUUCAGAUUGUAGUCUGCAACUCGGCUACAUGAAGUUGGAAUUGCUAGUAAUGACGCGUCAGCAACAGGGUCGUGAAUACGUUCCCGGGCCUUGC